RNAcentral lists this ribosomal RNA (253 nucleotides) under uncultured bacterium. RNAcentral's name for it is "partial 16S ribosomal RNA". It matches the Rfam family "Bacterial small subunit ribosomal RNA", at positions 524 to 776 of the family's 1533-position model. The record is from RNAcentral.
UACGUAGGUGGCAAGCGUUAUCCGGAUUUAUUGGGCGUAAAGGGAACGCAGGCGGUCUUUUAAGUCUGAUGUGAAAGCCUUCGGCUUAACCGGAGUAGUGCAUUGGAAACUGGGAGACUUGAGUGCAGAAGAGGAGAGUGGAACUCCACGUGUAGCGGUGAGAUGCGUAGAUAUAUGGAAGAACACCAGUGGCGAAAGCGGCUCUCUGGUCUGUAACUGACGCUGAGGUUCGAAAGCGUGGGUAGCAAACAGG